Molecule: long non-coding RNA, 470 nt
Organism: Capra hircus (goat)
Lineage: Eukaryota; Metazoa; Chordata; Mammalia; Artiodactyla; Bovidae
Exons: 4
Source: RefSeq, a predicted model, not a curated record
CAAAACUCGGGGCUCCUCUCCUUAGCCGCUGUGUCGGUAACGGUGGGAGCCCCAGCUCGAGCUUGGUAAUAAAAACUCUCUUGCUUUUGCAUUGGAUACCAGCUCCCUGGUGGCCAUUGGGAGACUUUGGGACUUGGGCAUAACAUUUGGGGGCUCGUCCAGGAUCUCCCACCGGCUCCACGGGAAGACCGAUCCGAAGAAUCAUCUGCAGCCGUGUCUGGAGAAAGGGUAGACUUAUGUAGCCUCGUGGCCAUCAGCGGUGAACUCCAUUUGGUUCUCCACUUAGAGUCUCACAGGCGGAAAUCAAGAUGUCGGUCGGUUUGCGGGCCCAGGAUGGCAUCUCUGAGGAGGUGGUGCCAUUGGAGCAGAAGCUAGCUAUGUGUCUGGAAGGGGAAGGGCAUUCCAGGAAGAGGGAGCUGCAUACACAAAGGUGGCACCAGUGAUAAAGAACCCGUCUGCCAAUGCAGGAG